Molecule: microRNA precursor, 201 nt
Organism: Oryza sativa Indica Group (long-grained rice)
Lineage: Eukaryota; Viridiplantae; Streptophyta; Magnoliopsida; Poales; Poaceae
Rfam family: MIR812 microRNA precursor family
Source: Rfam
UCUAAGUGCAACUAUAAGUUUUCGUGUCCAACUUUUGAUCGUCGUCUUAUUUGCUUUUUUUUUUAUAAUUAAUAUUUUUAUUAUUAUGAGAUGAUAAAACAUUAAUAGUACUUUAUACAUAACUUAUGUUUUUUUUUUAAAAAAAAUUCAAAUAAGACGGACGGUUAAAGUUGUGCACGGAAAAUUAUUGGUACACUUAAA